Long non-coding RNA from Centruroides sculpturatus (bark scorpion), 539 nucleotides. RefSeq lists it as uncharacterized. The record is from RefSeq and is a predicted model, not a curated record. The transcript has 4 exons. Lineage: Eukaryota; Metazoa; Arthropoda; Arachnida; Scorpiones; Buthidae.
UCAGGAUUGAAACUUCCUCAGGUUAAGAUUACAAUGAUCUUGCUGCUUAAUGAAUCUGCUCUAUAUAUUGAAGUGUAGAAGAUUGUUGUUUGGUUCAUUCUGUUACUUAAACAAUUGUGAUUGAGUACCUAAGAUAAGAUAAAAUUUGGGACAAUGUGUGGACAGAAUAGACAUAAGAAACAAGUCUUGGAUGUUCUAAAAAUGGAUUAAUAUGGAUAAUAAAUAAAAAUGCAUAUGUUGCAGUAUGGAAGAUAUUUGAAUAUUGUGUUCCAGUUUGUACAACUAUUUCAGAGUGUCUUAAGUGUUGAAGAGAGAAAUGCAGGAACCUUCAGCUGUAACUACUCAAAAUAUCACAGUUGUACCUCAGACUAUACCUUUAUAUCAGGAUACAUCCCAUCAUAUAAUUGGACAAUGUGCAGAUGUACCUGAAGAGCAAAUAACAUCUAGCCAAGGUGUGGUGAAUAGAGUUCCAACUGCUCAACCUGUAUUGGAUCCUCAGGCUCAGGCACAGUUUGAAGCUGAUAAAAGAGCGGUGUAUA